This 959-nucleotide ribosomal RNA is filed under the name uncultured Burkholderiales bacterium. RNAcentral's name for it is "bacterial SSU rRNA". It matches the Rfam family "Bacterial small subunit ribosomal RNA", at positions 57 to 1018 of the family's 1533-position model. Lineage: Bacteria; Pseudomonadati; Pseudomonadota; Betaproteobacteria; Burkholderiales. The record is from RNAcentral.
GCAAGUCGAACGGUAGAGGGGGCAACCCCUUGAGAGUGGCGAACGGGUGAGCAUUUAUCGGAACGUGCCCAGUCGUGGGGGAUAACGUAGUCAUAAUGACGCUAAUACCGCAUACGAUCUAAGGAUGAAAGCGGGGGAUCGCAAGACCUCGUGCGACUGGAGCGGCCGAUAUCAGAUUAGGUAGUUGGUAGGGUAAAGGCCCACCAAGCCAACGAUCUGUAGCUGGUCUGAGAGGACGACCAGCCACACUGGAACUGAGACACGGUCCAGACUCCUACGGGAGGCAGCAGUGGGGAAUUUUGGACAAUGGGCGAAAGCCUGAUCCAGCCAUUCCGCGUGCAGGAUGAAGGCCCUCGGGUUGUAAACUGCUUUUGUACAGAACGAAAAGGUUUCUAUUAAUACUAGGAGCUCAUGACGGUACUGUAAGAAUAAGCACCGGCUAACUACGUGCCAGCAGCCGCGGUAAUACGUAGGGUGCAAGCGUUAAUCGGAAUUACUGGGCGUAAAGCGUGCGCAGGCGGUUAUAUAAGUCAGAUGUGAAAUCCCCGGGCUCAACCUGGGAACUGCAUUUGAGACUGUAUAGCUAGAGUACGGUAGAGGGGGAUGGAAUUCCGCGUGUAGCAGUGAAAUGCGUAGAUAUGCGGAGGAACACCGAUGGCGAAGGCAAUCCCCUGGACCUGUACUGACGCUCAUGCACGAAAGCGUGGGGAGCAAACAGGAUUAGAUACCCUGGUAGUCCACGCCCUAAACGAUGUCAACUGGUUGUUGGGUCUUAACUGACUCAGUAACGAAGCUAACGCGUGAAGUUGACCGCCUGGGGAGUACGGCCGCAAGGUCGAAACUCAAAGGAAUUGACGGGGACCCGCACAAGCGGUGGAUGAUGUGGUUUAAUUCGAUGUCACGCGAAAAACUUACCCACCUUUGACAUGUACGGAAGGAUCCAGAGAUGGAUUUGUGCU